AGAGUUGGCUAGACAGUCGCUGUAGUUUCUACAGAGGAAAGUCCGGGCUCCAUCGGGCAAAGUGCCAGGUAAUGCCUGGGGGGCGUAAGCCUACGGAAAGUGCCACAGAAAAUAUACCGCCUAAGCAGAGUGUCGCCUUUGGCGAAACUAUACUCACAGCAUCGGGUUUUUGGCAAGUGUCGCGUCCAUGCAAUCAUCAUGGUAUAUCCAAGUCAUGAGGAUUGCGAGUUGGUGGCACACAGCCAAUAUCAAGUGCGAAGAGUAUAUAGCUAGGUAAGGGUGAAAAGGUGUGGUAAAAGCACACCGCAUCAUUGGUAACAGUGAUGGCAGGGUAAACCCCACUUGGAGCAAGACCAAAUAGGAACCUUUUAGGCGUGGCCCAUGCUAGGUUCGGGUAGGUUGCUUGAGAUAUAUGGUGACGUAUAUCCUAGAUGAAUGACUGUCCACGACAGAACCCGGCUUAUCGGCUAACUCUUUUU
RNAcentral lists this RNase P RNA (479 nucleotides) under Gammaproteobacteria bacterium. RNAcentral describes it as "RNase P RNA component class A". It matches the Rfam family "Bacterial RNase P class A". From Rfam's summary of the family: Ribonuclease P (RNase P) is a ubiquitous endoribonuclease, found in archaea, bacteria and eukarya as well as chloroplasts and mitochondria. Its best characterised activity is the generation of mature 5'-ends of tRNAs by cleaving the 5'-leader elements of precursor-tRNAs. Cellular RNase Ps are ribonucleoproteins. The record is from RNAcentral. Lineage: Bacteria; Pseudomonadati; Pseudomonadota; Gammaproteobacteria.